This 5255-nucleotide long non-coding RNA is filed under the name Gallus gallus (chicken). Its description in RNAcentral is "lncRNA (ENSGALG00010004459.1)". Lineage: Eukaryota; Metazoa; Chordata; Aves; Galliformes; Phasianidae. The record is from RNAcentral.
GGAGAGGAGAGGAGAGGAGAGGAGAGGAGAGAAGAGAAGAGAAGAGAAGAGAAGAGAAGAGAAAGAAGAGAAGAGAAGAGAAGAGAAGAGAAGAGAAGAGAAGAGAAGAGAAGAGAAGAGAAGAGAAGAGAAGAGAAGAGAAGAGAAGAGAAGAGAAGAGAAGAGAAGAGAAGAGAAGAGAAGAGAAGAGAAGAGAAGAGAAGAGAAGAGAAGAGAAGAGAAGAGAAGAGAAGAGAAGAGAAGAGAAGAGAAGAGAAGAGAAGAGAAGAGAAGAGAAGAGAAGAGAAGAGAAGAGAAGAGAAGAGAAGAGAAGAGAAGAGAAGGGCUGGAAGGGACCAUCAAAGAUCAUAGAUUCCAACUACCUGACUACUUCAAGACCAACCAGAAGUUAAAGCAUACUAUUUAAGGGCAUUACCAAGAUGUUUCUUGAACACUGCCUGUAAGAACCUGCUGUCAUCCCAUGAUUACAAACAUGGAGAGAAAAAAAGAAGUAGGCAUACACUUCACUUUAAAUCCUAAUUUAUUUUUUUGUGACAAAUAUUUGAAGGCAAGAGCCUCAAAGCCAAAGAGGGAAUGAGUCACUACAAUAGCUUCUCAUUAAACUAAUGACAAGAUGUAUAAAUAGAGGGAGCUCACUUGGCUAAUGUUCUUGUCAUUCGCAACACUAAACCGCAGGAAAUUAAAACAGAGAAAAGUCAAAUGGUGUGCCUUGGACUGGGUGUUCAAUUAACCUUAAAUUAGAAAUGUUAACAUUUGAUUAAAAAUAAAACACACACAAAAAUCAGUUAUGCAUUUGCACCAGGUGCCCUGUAGCUGGAUAGGGUGAAGGAAGUGAAAACAAAUAUCAAGCUCUGUUGUCAACGCUUUGGAGUGAACAUGUACUGGGUAAUAUCACCUCAGAUCAGCUUAAUUUUAAACCUGGUGAGUUCCUCAUUCUUAUUGUUCUCUUCUUAAUGCCAAGUCAAUUACCCAGACACCUCCUCAGGUUACAUAGGUGGAAGCAGUUCUGAAAAAUAUCUGCUCAGUAAAGGCCAUUGUUUGCCACUCUGACACCACAAAAUCAACCUGCCAGGAAAAAAAGCAUUCUGAAGGACCCCACUUUAAACCUCACUUCAGAGAAUACUCUGAUAAUACUCUUGAUUUUCAGAAGAGAAGUGGAUAUGAAUGAUCCUCAACUGUUUCAAAGGGAUUAAAAAAGGCAAAAUUACUGAAUUUUAAAUUGAAAUUUUUAGUUGAAAUAAAUGGAAAACAUGAUCAUUAUUCUGAAACACUCUGAUAGUAUUUCAUUUUAAGUGGUGAUUGUCUAUUCCCAAUAUUCUUGAUGAAAAUGUGAACAUAGUAGUACUAAAACCAGAGAGUUUUUAAGCAAAGAUUGAGUCUUCUCUGGAGAUGAGUAAUUUCAUAAUAUCUCUUUGCCUGAUUGUUUUAAAUUUUAGAGCAAUUUCUGUUGAAGUAUGUUGUUAGAGCUUUGGCAAAAAAAAAAAAAAAAAAGAAAAGAAAAGAAAAGAAAAGAAAAGAAAAGAAAAAAGAACUUCUUUUUGUCUGAAAGAUGCCUUAAAAAUAGGUGAAGCUUCUUCAGCUCCAUAGCUAAUGCAAAGGAAGUAUGGUAACAUCUACUCCUCAUUCCCUCUCUUCUUCCUAAAGACCAAGCUUUAUUAUAGAAAGAAGAAUAAUUUAGAAUUUUAAAUAUAUUUGUAACAGACAAUAAAGGAAAUCUCUUCUCUACAAAGAUCCCUGGCGACAGAAAAGGAAUGGACUGUAAAAGAACACUAAUAACUGUAUAGAAAUGUGAGACUGACAGAAAAACAGCCCAGCAAAUUAAAUUACAGAACUACCGUAUGUGGUCUUUUCAUUAAAUUUAUCCAUUAAAUAUUGCACAACAUUUCUAUAUGGUAGAACAUCAGAACUGUGCAGUCAUUUGCUCCCAGCAUUUCUCAGCAUGCAGCAGAAAUAUGAGAUUUAUUCUGAGUAACUCUCAGUUACAAGCAAGGCCAUUACCCUUGCAAAGCAAAAUAAAAUAAAAUAAUAAUUAUAAGCAGCUGAAGGUGGUUGGGUGGCCAGGUAGGAGAUGCAGAUGGACUUCAACCUUGGAGGUACAAAUCAAGCUGUCUACUCGUUUCUGGAGAGAGCUAUUUCAAGAGUGGCACGUAGAAUAGAAGGACAACAUAAUUACUGAACACUGUCAAACUGACAUCCAUUUCUUUAUUAAAAUGCAAAUAAACUCUUCAUGUCACAGAUGAUGACUCAUAUAUAAGAUGGUAUUUUCAGGUCAUUGCCAGAGUUGAAUUUUUUGGACCAACAGUUUUCACAAAUUUUAGCACCACUAUGUGACAAUGACAACACUAUAUCUACAUGAAGAUGAUUUAUAGAAGGAUAAGAAAAGGAGUGUGGCAAAUUGCAAGGUGAAAGGAAAAAUCAAGGAAGCAGGAUGAAGUGUGGAGGUUUUGCAGGAAAUGGUGGGAUUGAAAUACUCCAGAAUUGGACUGACAAUAUAUAUAUAUAUAUAUAUAUAGUAAUCCAAAUUCCAUAAUAUACAGAUUUCAUCUGCUGCUAUUUGGAAUUUUUACACUGACUCUUCAGUCAAAAUGCGUAAAUCUGGUGACUUGUAUGCCUGAGAUGGCUCUUGGUCAAAGCUUACAUAAUACCUCUGCACAGGUGGAUAUAAUUACUCAUCGAUUAAUACAUGUAUUUCAUCUACUGAAGAUAAUACUACAGCUUGAAGAACUAUGAACUGAGAGCUUAAUCAACCAUCUAAAUACUUGUGAAUAUAAUUUAUGGAAAUUUCUUAUCGGUCUGAUGCACAGCACAGCAGGAAGGGCAGCAUGCUAUCAGAGCUGGCAGGCUGUGGGAGCUGAGGCCGUCUCGUAUACAGACAAAAGAGAAAUGUUGCACAAUGGAGCAGUUUAAAGAGCAGAAAGAGUCAUACAAGUUCAAAGGAAAAGGGAAUUGAUAACCUUGCUACCUCUUCAUUCUGAUUCAAAGAGAAGAACAGCAUUGGAAGAAGAUUGUAAAGGAUGUUAGAAUCAGUAGAUUGUCAUAACUUGCUUGUCAUAACUUAAAGGUUGUCUGUGAUGUUGGAUUGCCAGAAGAUUAAAUCCUGUACUGGAGGAAUUGAAAUGUUAAAGUGACACUUUUAACAGUGCAUUUGAUGAAAAUGGUGAUGUCUUCUGCAAGAUGCACUGCACAGUGCUACCGUUCUCUUUUCAGCUUUAUAAGAACAAAAUUUUUGGAGAAAGAAAUUGAGGACUUGGAUCAAUGACUGUGGCUCUCACGUUCUACAGAGCCGUAGUGCUCUCACUCUUGAGGACCUGGUGGAAGCAUAAUGAAGUCAAUGGCUGAUUUACCAUUGACUUCCAUAAAAAUUUAUCUCCUGUGAUCUAAGGUAAUGUCCAUGAGUAAGUGGAAGAUUGCUGAAGCAGUUCAUCUCAUCCUUUUAGCUGGCUAAUAGCCAGGAAAUUACAUGAACUGUUGUGUGUAGAACAGAAAUUAUCUGAUCUAACUUCAAAAAUGUUUGGAGGCAUUUACAUGCAUUAUUAUUUGUUGUGAAGCACUCUUCAUAGACACAACUCUGGGAAAGACACGUAGUAAAUCACAGAAUCAUAGGAUCAGGGCAUAAUACAGAUUUAAAAGGAACUCUGGGAGUCUUCCAGCCUCUCUCUAGAAUUAGCACUGAAGCCCACAGGAAUUCUCCCAUCAAUGUCAAUAAGAACAGGACUAAUGUCAUCUUCUGUGAAUUGCUAUAAUCUAGUGUGUUUUUCUACCUUACAUAACUUCCAAAUUUAAAGGUUUGGGUUUUUUUUUUUUUGUUUUGUUUUGUUUUGUUUUUUUUUGAAAAGUACCUCAGAAGGUAACCUGCUGAGCAUCAGCUGUAGAAGAAAAGGUGAUCAGAAAUGGGACAGACAGGUUGAAAAAGGGCAGAGACAACAGGCCCAAGAGAUGUAGCUGAAAAGAAACAGGUCAGGAAGAGAAGACUGGGGAUAGCUUUCCCUUACAUGUUUAAUCUUCACAGUAGUUGAAUCACUUUUUUUUUUUUUAACAGAUAAUACAUAGUGCAGCCAUAUGAUAUGUGUGAUAGUAAGUAUGUCAACUCUGCCUCCUCUUGAGAGACUGAGAUUAAAGAGGUGGAAACUGUAAAUGCUCUGGGAUCUCAGAAUAAUGUUCUUUUCUAUGGGAAUGAAGUUUUUCCAUUUAGGUUUUGCUGAUUAUUACUUCAUGGGAAAGAUAUUACAAUAUCUCACUACUGUUUAUAAGAACCUGUAGGGAAGGAAAAAGUGUUGAGAAGGAGAAGAGCUAAGUCAGUGUAGGAUUUGAAAGAAAAAACUAUAAUUUCCUGGCUGAACUGCAGUAAAAGAAAUCCAAGCACAAAAGGAGGGAUGAGUAAAAUAAUGAGACAAACACAGAUUGGGAGUAUAUUUCAUUUACUAAAAGGUAGGUGCAGAAAGAAGAGAUAAAUACCAGGAUACAUUGGAGUUGCUUUGUAAAUACAACUGUGAGGACUUUGGAAGAGUAAAAAAUGGCAUUAGUAGGGUGUCAGUCAUGUCAUCCUCAGACAGGCACAUUGUCUGGGUAGCUCUCUGGUAGUGCUUGUUCUUCUCCAUUUGGGCACUAGAGGAGCCUAUUUGGACACUCAUCCUAUAGAUGCCUAUGUUGAGACAGAACAAUUAUACCCUCAGGUGGGACUCCUCUUUUCCAGCCUCAGAUAUCAACAGCAUAGAUCUAUAUUUCUAAAGUAAGCAUAUUAGGCUCUCUUUGUGCUCACUGGGGAGAAAUAAGGGCAAAAUCCGUUCGACCUAUUUGUGUCUUAAGCUCAUUUUGUACAAGAUAAACUGUGUCCUAGAGGUGUCUAUUAUGGGAGUUUAUGGUGUCAAGAUCAGGUGUAAAUGUCUGUAUUCCGGACAUCUUAGAACACCACUCUGUAAACAACUUUACCUUGCAGGCAGAUUUCAGAGGUUCAUUAGGUUGUUAGCAACAUCAACGACACUUUCAUAGCCUGGGUCAUCUAAAGGGCACUGUGAUCAUCCAUGCAUCCUUUACUCUGGGCUGGUUUUGGUAUUAGCUACCUUCUCAGCUUUUUUCCAUUCAUCAGGAUCACAGAAUUGUUGAGGCUGACAGGGCCUUCUGGAUCCAUCUGCUCCAGCCCCUUCUCCAGCAGGGACACCCAGAGCAGGGUGCCCAGGGCCACAUCCAGGCAGCUCUGGGAGAUCCACAAGGAGGAGACCUCACAGCCUCGGGGCAGCCUGUGCCAGUGCUCCGUC